This 541-nucleotide long non-coding RNA is filed under the name Mytilus galloprovincialis (Mediterranean mussel). Lineage: Eukaryota; Metazoa; Mollusca; Bivalvia; Mytilida; Mytilidae. The record is from RNAcentral.
GCCAUCUCUCUUAUUUGAAAGCAUAUUGACGCGGAGAAACAUUUAAAAAAAUAUUUUGAAAAUGGAGGAGCCAAUACACUUUAUUAAGAAAUUAUCCUUCACGCUUGUCAUAAGACUGGAUAAAAAUUAUAUCAUAUUUAUUAAAAAUGUCCAUACAAACACCGUAACGUUACUUGGUCUGCCAAGUUUUAACAAAAUGCUCUAAAAAAUACCAUCAUCAAUGCUAGUAUCAGCUAUGAAGACUUUUUUCAGAAUUAUUGUGAUACUAUCUGCCUUAGAAACUGUCAUGAUAAUAUAUUAAUACCAUGUAAUGCGAUAUUUUUGCGUGAGAUUAUUAUGUUUUUUGAUUUUCGCGGGAUGCUAUUUUGCAUUCUCCGACAGAGAGUUUAUAUCCGUUCCAUACAUGCUCCGCAAUACUGCACUUAAUAUGAAAUAUCAAUUAUCAAUACGUGUUUAUUUGCUUUGUUAAUCUGCAAUAUGCACGAUCUGUUUGCUGAACAAUAUUCCUAUACAAUGUUUAUAAAAACGCUUUAUCUGUAUU